Molecule: ribosomal RNA, 454 nt
Filed under: uncultured bacterium
Lineage: Bacteria
Description: partial 16S ribosomal RNA
Rfam family: Bacterial small subunit ribosomal RNA
Source: RNAcentral
GAUGAACGCUGACAGAAUGCUUAACACAUGCAAGUCAACUUGAACUUCGGUUUGGGUGGCGGACGGGUGAGUAACGCGUAAAGAACUUGCCUCACAGCUAGGGACAACAUUUGGGAACGAAUGCUAAUACCUGAUAUUAUGAUUAUAUGGCAUCGUAUAAUUAUGAAAGCUAUAUGCGCUGUGAGAGAGCUUUGCGUCCCAUUAGCUAGUUGGAGAGGUAACAGCUCACCAAGGCGAUGAUGGGUAGCCGGCCUGAGAGGGUGAUCGGCCACAAGGGGACUGAGACACGGCCCUUACUCCUACGGGAGGCAGCAGUGGGGAAUAUUGGACAAUGGACCGAGAGUCUGAUCCAGCAAUUCUGUGUGCACGAUGAAGUUUUUCGGAAUGUAAAGUGCUUUCAGUUGGGAAGAAAAAAAUGACGGUACCAACAGAAGAAGUGACGGCUAAAUACGUG